Molecule: non-coding RNA, 24 nt
Filed under: Arabidopsis thaliana (thale cress)
Lineage: Eukaryota; Viridiplantae; Streptophyta; Magnoliopsida; Brassicales; Brassicaceae
Source: RNAcentral
CAGUAGCUACCAAUCAGUGACUAA